GUCGUAACAAGGUUUCCGUAGGUGAACCUGCGGAAGGAUCAUUACCACACCAAAAAACACUAUCCACGUGAACGUAUUCUGUAUGAGGUUUGUGCGUUGUUCUCUUCGGAGAGCUCCUGCUAGCUGAAGGCGUCUCUUUCGGGAGAUAUGCCGAGGUCCUUUUAAAACCAUAACCCAAUGACUGAAACUUUAUUGGCAGACAGAAAUGUUUGCUCUUAACGAGAUACAACUUUCAACAGUGGAUGUCUCGGCUGGC
Molecule: unclassified non-coding RNA, 256 nt
Filed under: fungal sp.
Lineage: Eukaryota; Fungi
Description: partial internal transcribed spacer region
Rfam family: Eukaryotic small subunit ribosomal RNA (bases 1-44)
Source: RNAcentral